Molecule: unclassified non-coding RNA, 333 nt
Filed under: soil metagenome
Description: partial contains 5.8S ribosomal RNA, internal transcribed spacer 2, and large subunit ribosomal RNA
Rfam family: 5.8S ribosomal RNA (bases 1-120)
Source: RNAcentral
GAUGAAGAACGCAGCGAAAUGCGAUACGUAAUGUGAAUUGCAGAAUUCAGUGAAUCAUCAAAUCUUUGAACGCACAUUGCGCCCGCCAGCACUCUGGCGGGCAUGCCUGUUCGAGCGUCAUUUCAACCAUCAAGCCCCAGGCUUGCGUUGGAGCCCUGCGGCUGCCGCAGCCUCCUAAAAGCAGUGGCGGGCUCGCUAUCACACCGAGUGCAGUAGAUUACUCUUCGCUCAGGGCGUGCAGCGGGUUCCGGCCGUGAAACCCCCUACUUUUAAAGGUUGACCUCGGAUCAGGUAGGAAUACCCGCUGAACUUAAGCAUAUCAAAAGCGGAGGA